UCAUGGAUCAUUGGUGGGGGUAGAGCACUGAAUGUGCGCGGGGGCCACAAAGCCUACCAAACGCUAUCAAACUACGAAUACCAUACAAUGCAGACCAUGGGAGUCAGUCCGCGAGAGAUAAGUUCCGCGGGCAAAAGGGGAACACCCCAGAUCAACCGCUAAGGUCCCCAAGUUCACGUUAAGUGGAGAAGGAUGUGGAAUUGCACAGACAACCAGGAUGUUGGCUCAGAAGCAGCCACACAUUUAAAGAGUGCGUAAUAGCUCACUGGUCGAGUGAUUGUGCGCCGAAGAUGUCCGGGGCUAAACGUGACACCGAAGCGAUGGGUGCAUCUGAAGAAGAUGCGCGGUAGAGGAGCAAUGUGCAGAGGCAGAAGCCGUAUCGAGAGGCACGGUGGACACUGCACAAGAGAGAAUGCCGGUAUGAGUAGCGAGAGGCAUGCGAGAAACAUGCCCGUCGAAAGCCCAAGGUUUCCUGGGGAAGGUUCAUCCGCCCAGGGUAAGUCGGGGCCUAAGCCGAGGACGGAAGUCGUAGGCGAUGGACAGCAGGUGUAGAUUCCUGCACUACCGAUGGAAUGAAGCAGUGACACAGAAGGAUAACUCGAGCAGGGUGAUGGUCAACCCUGUGCAAGCAUCAAGGUUGGGUUGUAGUGAAGUACGCAAUCCUAUAAGCUGAGAUGUGAUGCGGACCGAAAUUUCAGUAGGGAAGCGAGUGAGUUCACGCUGGCGAGAAAAGCUGCUAGUACAUCCAAAGGUACCCGUACCGGAAACCGACGCAGGUGGGCGAGGAGAGAAUCCUGAGACGAACGGGAGAACCCUUGUUAAGGAACUCGGCAAAAUGACCCCGUAACUUCGGGAUAAGGGGUGCCUGCGAGAGCAGGCCGCAGAGAAUAGUCACAAGCGACUGUUUAGCAAAAACACAGGUAUCUGCGAAAGCGAGAGCUGACGUAUAGGUGCUGACACCUGCCCGGUGCUGGAAGGUUAAGGGAACAUGUUAGAGCAAUCGAAGCAUCGAACCGAAGCCCCAGUAAACGGCGGCCGUAACUAUAACGGUCCUAAGGUAGCGAAAUUCCUUGUCGGGUAAGUUCCGACCCGCACGAAUGGUGUAACGACUUGUGAGCUGUCUCAACAGGGGGCCCGGUGAAAUUGAAGUAUGGGUGAAGAUGCCCAUUACCCGCGACUGGACGGAAAGACCCCGUAGAGCUUUACUGCAGCCUGAUAUUGAGUUUCGGUAACUGAUGCACAGGAUAGGUGGGAGUCUGAGAGACAUGGGUUUCGGCUCAUGUGGAGACGAUGUUGGGAUACCACUCUUCGGUUACUGAAAUUCUAACAUAGCUCUGUGAAACCAGAGGAUGGACAGUGUCAGGUGGACAGUUUGACUGGGGCGGUCGCCUCCGAAAGAGUAACGGAGGCGCCCAAAGGUACCCUCAGAAUGGAUGGAAACCAUUCGAAGAGCGCAAAGGCAGAAGGGUGCCUGACUGCGAGAGUGACAACUCGAGCAGAGACGAAAGUCGGGCUUAGUGAUCCGGCGGUAUUGAGUGGAAAAGCCGUCGCUUAACGGAUAAAAGCUACCUCGGGGAUAACAGGCUGAUCUCCCCCAAGAGUCCACAUCGACGGGGAGGUUUGGCAC
This 1627-nucleotide ribosomal RNA is filed under the name metagenome. Its description in RNAcentral is "bacterial LSU rRNA". It matches the Rfam family "Bacterial large subunit ribosomal RNA", at positions 882 to 2524 of the family's 2925-position model. The record is from RNAcentral.